GAAAUGCGAUAAGUAAUGUGAAUUGCAGAUUUCAGUGAAUCAUCGAAUCUUUGAACGCACAUUGCGCCCGCCAGCACUCUGGCGGGCAUGCCUGUUCGAGCUUCAUUUCAACCCUCAGAACCCCUUGCGGGAUCUGGCGUUGGGGAUUGGCAUCCAGCCAGCCCCGAAAUCUAGUGGCGGUCCCUCCGCGACCUCCCCUGUGCAGUAGCGAUACCUCGCAGCGGGACAGCGGUCUGACCACGCCGUAAAACCCCCAACUUCUCAAGGUUGACCUCGAAUCAGGUAGGAAUACCCGCUGAACUUAAGC
Molecule: unclassified non-coding RNA, 307 nt
Filed under: plant metagenome
Description: partial contains 5.8S ribosomal RNA, internal transcribed spacer 2, and large subunit ribosomal RNA
Rfam family: 5.8S ribosomal RNA (bases 1-105)
Source: RNAcentral